AGGGUUUGCUGGAGUGUUUCAUGAUCUUCUGCGGCCUGCAGCUAUCUGCUCCUCCUCCAGUGAAGCUCCUCCCACAACAAGCACACCUUCAGUGAAGCUCCUCCCACAACAAGCACAUCUUCAGUGAAGCUCCUCCCACAAUAAGCACACCUUCAGUGAAGCUCCUCCCACAACAAGCACAUCUUCAGUGAAGCUCCUCCCACAAUAAGCACACCUUCAGUGAAGCUCCUCCCACUGCAGUUCAGCAAUAAAUGCUGGAAUAUUCCCAUCAGUCUACAAGUGAAGACGAGCAUCAGAGCAUCAGGAAGAAGUGAAAUCUGCAGAGACAGAGUUUAUUGAAGGACAGAGAGAACAUGAGAGAUCCAGAACCCUGCAGAAUGAAACACACUGAAGAACAAACAGACAAGGCUUAAAUUACUGAAAAGAAGAAAAGACAAGAAAAGGUUCACCUGCACUCAGUGUGGAAAGAGUUUCACAUACAAACAGCAUCUCAGUGCUCACAUGAGGAUCCACACUGGAGAGAAACCGUUCACAUGUG
Molecule: long non-coding RNA, 538 nt
Organism: Onychostoma macrolepis
Lineage: Eukaryota; Metazoa; Chordata; Actinopteri; Cypriniformes; Cyprinidae
Exons: 3
Source: RefSeq, a predicted model, not a curated record